RNAcentral lists this long non-coding RNA (1279 nucleotides) under Gossypium barbadense (sea-island cotton). RNAcentral describes it as "long non-coding RNA (GBAR_LNC005784)". The record is from RNAcentral. Lineage: Eukaryota; Viridiplantae; Streptophyta; Magnoliopsida; Malvales; Malvaceae.
CUAAUCCAACAUCAGAGUGAAUGAGAGGGGUCAGCGUGCAAAUCUCCCAAUUUAAGCAAACACACAUGAAUUUGGCCUGCUAAACGAUCAACAUGCAGGCCUUUACCCUUUGGAAUGGCACAGUUUUCUAAACCUGAUAUUAAAACCCCCAUUUUCAUUUAUUUGCCUUUCAAAAUGCUAAUAAUCUUUAAGCUCCCCCCCUUUUUUUUAAAAAAAAAGAAUAACCCUUAAUCUGCUCUGUUAGGAUCGGUUCAGCAUGCAGCCGUCGAACACCAUCCAUUCGAUGGCCGACGACGUGAACAACGACCAGAUUUCACCAAUCGGGGCCGUGACCACUGAGAUCUGGUAACUUUGCUUCUUCUUUUUAUUUUUUUUUUAAAAAAAAGGUUUUGAUUCCUAUGAUAUUCUUUGGAAAAUGAAACAAACUUGGAAGAUUUAAACAGUAUCCCGAUACCAUUCGACCCUCGCCCACAUCUAUAUAUUUUCGAGAUGUUUGGGCUCUCAUCGGCGUCGAUUCGGGUACCCACUUCAUGUAUUCAUGCCUAAGUUGCAAGCCAAUCGCAAGAAACAAAAAAAGAAAGAAAAAAAAACAGAUUUGGAAAUCACCUUCCGAUAACUUUCGACUUGAUUUCUUUUGAUAUUCAGUGUGCGUAAUAUGUUUGUGUUUGCGUAUUGUGCGAAUAUUGUCUCUAUUUUUGUAACCUUUGCAGAGAUUAAGAACUAUGGCUUUAUAACCGAAAAGAAAAAAAGAAAAAGGAAAAUAAAUUAAAAAUACAAUUUUCAUUCCCUUCUAUUUGCUGUUCUGCUGUUUUUUGUUUGUAUUUGCUGCCGUGUUCGUCCUUCUUGCAGGUACAGGGUACGUUGACAUCGUACGGAGGUUGUGCUGGCACGGGCGUGGCUGCUGGAGGGUACGGAGCGAGGCUGGGGGUUGUAUGCGCCUGGAGGCUACGGUACUAAGCAAGGGCUAGGGUUUCUGAACUUUGGUUUAGGUAUUGGGCCUAUUGGGCCGUUUGGAUUUUGGGUUAUACAUUAGUUUGGGCUUUGAUUGGUUAUUGGUUUGUAAAAGGACACUUAAUUAUUGGGUUUUUUAUUAUAAUUAUUUUUUGGUUUAUUUUUUGUCUUGUUUUGUGUUUGCAUAGGCCCGGGCCAAAAUUGGUCAUUACAAAAAAUGUAUAUAAUUUUUAUUGCAUCAACUAUAAGUGUCUGAAAUUUAAAAUAAUUUUACUUUAAUAUUAAAAUCAAUGACUUUUCUGAAUAAAAACGAAUAAAAACGAUAGGA